Molecule: non-coding RNA, 30 nt
Filed under: Rattus norvegicus (Norway rat)
Lineage: Eukaryota; Metazoa; Chordata; Mammalia; Rodentia; Muridae
Source: RNAcentral
UCUUCUACCACUGACAGCAUACUUUCGAUA